CCCAACAGGAAACCAGCCAGUACAGCAAGAACAGCAGCAAUAUCCUCAUUUCUUGCUUUCUUCAGUCAGGACUGGGUAACAGUUUUUCUUUUGACAAAAUUCAGCACCUUUAACUUCAAUAACUUUCCUUCCUGAAAAGGUGCAGCAAGUUAAGGAGACAUGGUGGGAUGUCUGGAAGCUCUCUUUGCUUGUUUCUUCCCUGCUGUUCUAUGGGCCAUUCACCUGGAGCAGGAGCAGAUCUCUGUCACAAAGCAGCCACUUCAAGGCAGCUUUGCAAAAGUCACUUGCAAAGUGUUUGGUGGAUCAGACUCUACCUACAUCCACUGGUACCGAGCCCGAGCUGGAGAGGCCCCACAGAGGCUGCUAUACCUCAUUCUCUCUGGGUCAGACUUAAAGCGAGAGGCAGGCUUCUCCAGUGACAAAUUCUCAGCCUAUGCAACACAAAGCAUCUCUAACUUGUUGGUGCACAAACUGGAAGAGACAGAUAGCGGCUGCUAUUACUGUGCCACAUGGGAUUUUACACAGUGCCACAAGCUUCCUGCAACCCUGAACAAAAACCACCACAGCUCGGUGUGUGGGGCUCAACUCUCAUAUUACUGCUGCAGCAGAGCAGGCUGAGCCCUAGGUCCUACCCAGGCACGGCAGCCUACAGAACAGGCAUAGCCUCAAUUCCACAAACCACGGCCAGUGUGAACUCCUGUUCGGCCAGCCCAAGUUGUGCAGGGAUUUGCCUCAGCCAGGGAAGUGGGAGUUUACCUACUGGGUGGCGCAAAGGUGACAUCCAGUGACUGCCUAUCAGUGCUAGCUCCAUCUCUAAAGGCAGAACAAGGCCUGGUCUACACUAGAGUUUAUGUAGAUUUUAG
Non-coding RNA from Gopherus evgoodei (Goodes thornscrub tortoise), 863 nucleotides. The record is from the annotation of a RefSeq genome assembly. NCBI's taxonomy places the organism in Eukaryota, Metazoa, Chordata, Testudines, Testudinidae.